RNAcentral lists this ribosomal RNA (1372 nucleotides) under uncultured bacterium. RNAcentral describes it as "bacterial SSU rRNA". It matches the Rfam family "Bacterial small subunit ribosomal RNA", at positions 28 to 1381 of the family's 1533-position model. The record is from RNAcentral.
GAUGAACGCUGGCGGCGUGCCUAAUACAUGCAAGUCGAGCGAACGGACGAGAAGCUUGCUUCUCUGAUGUUAGCGGCGGACGGGUGAGUAACACGUGGAUAACCUACCUAUAAGACUGGGAUAACUUCGGGAAACCGGAGCUAAUACCGGAUAAUAUUUUGAACCGCAUGGUUCAAAAGUGAAAGACGGUCUUGCUGUCACUUAUAGAUGGAUCCGCGCUGCAUUAGCUAGUUGGUAAGGUAACGGCUUACCAAGGCAACGAUGCAUAGCCGACCUGAGAGGGUGAUCGGCCACACUGGAACUGAGACACGGUCCAGACUCCUACGGGAGGCAGCAGUAGGGAAUCUUCCGCAAUGGGCGAAAGCCUGACGGAGCAACGCCGCGUGAGUGAUGAAGGUCUUCGGAUCGUAAAACUCUGUUAUUAGGGAAGAACAUAUGUGUAAGUAACUGUGCACAUCUUGACGGUACCUAAUCGGAAAGCCACGGCUAACUACGUGCCAGCAGCCGCGGUAAUACGUAGGUGGCAAGCGUUAUCCGGAAUUAUUGGGCGUAAAGCGCGCGUAGGCGGUUUUUUAAGUCUGAUGUGAAAGCCCACGGCUCAACCGUGGAGGGUCAUUGGAAACUGGAAAACUUGAGUGCAGAAGAGGAAAGUGGAAUUCCAUGUGUAGCGGUGAAAUGCGCAGAGAUAUGGAGGAACACCAGUGGCGAAGGCGACUUUCUGGUCUGUAACUGACGCUGAUGUGCGAAAGCGUGGGGAUCAAACAGGAUUAGAUACCCUGGUAGUCCACGCCGUAAACGAUGAGUGCUAAGUGUUAGGGGGUUUCCGCCCCUUAGUGCUGCAGCUAACGCAUUAAGCACUCCGCCUGGGGAGUACGACCGCAAGGUUGAAACUCAAAGGAAUUGACGGGGACCCGCACAAGCGGUGGGGCAUGUGGUUUAAUUCGAAGCAACGCGAAGAACCUUACCAAAUCUUGACAUCCUUUAACAACUCUAGAGAUAGAGCCUUCCCCUUCGGGGGACAAAGUGACAGGUGGUGCAUGGUUGUCGUCAGCUCGUGUCGUGAGAUGUUGGGUUAAGUCCCGCAACGAGCGCAACCCUUAAGCUUAGUUGCCAUCAUUAAGUUGGGCACUCUAAGUUGACUGCCGGUGACAAACCGGAGGAAGGUGGGGAUGACGUCAAAUCAUCAUGCCCCUUAUGAUUUGGGCUACACACGUGCUACAAUGGACAAUACAAAGGGCAGCGAAACCGCGAGGUCAAGCAAAUCCCAUAAAGUUGUUCUCAGUUCGGAUUGUAGUCUGCAACUCGACUACAUGAAGCUGGAAUCGCUAGUAAUCGUAGAUCAGCAUGCUACGGUGAAUACGUUCCCGGGUCU